UGGGGAAUAUUGGACAAUGGGCGAAAGCCUGAUCCAGCCAUGCCGCGUGUGUGAAGAAGGUCUUCGGAUUGUAAAGCACUUUAAGUUGGGAGGAAGGGUUGUAGAUUAAUACUCUGCAAUUUUGACGUUACCGACAGAAUAAGCACCGGCUAACUCUGUGCCAGCAGCCGCGGUAAUACAGAGGGUGCAAGCGUUAAUCGGAAUUACUGGGCGUAAAGCGCGCGUAGGUGGUUAUGUAAGUUGGAUGUGAAAUCCCCGGGCUCAACCUGGGAACUGCAUCCAAAACUGCAUGGCUAGAGUACGGUAGAGGGUGGUGGAAUUUCCGGUGUAGCGGUGAAAUGCGUAGAUAUCAAGAGGAACACCUGAGGUGAAGACGGGUUGCUGGGCUGACACUGACGCUGAGGCGCGAAAGCCAGGGGAGCAAACGGGAUUAGAUACCCUUGUAGUCCCUGAGCGGGCUGGCAAGGCGCAU
RNAcentral lists this ribosomal RNA (472 nucleotides) under uncultured bacterium. Its description in RNAcentral is "bacterial SSU rRNA". It matches the Rfam family "Bacterial small subunit ribosomal RNA", at positions 355 to 825 of the family's 1533-position model. The record is from RNAcentral.